RNAcentral lists this long non-coding RNA (2137 nucleotides) under Carica papaya (papaya). RNAcentral's name for it is "long non-coding RNA (CPAP_LNC014602)". The record is from RNAcentral. Lineage: Eukaryota; Viridiplantae; Streptophyta; Magnoliopsida; Brassicales; Caricaceae.
GGCAAAAAUCAGUUUUUCAAGCAUUUCGAAGAGUCGAUCAACGUCCUCCCGUAGUGAUCCCUCCUGGGCUGGUCUGUUUAGUGGGGACCUUCCUCUCCUCAUGUUUUCUUACAUACUUUACAUGACAAUAGUUUGAGAUUCGAAUUGCAUUAAAUUUAUUAUAACCCUAUGUGCAAUGAAUGAUUCUGAGAAAUUCGGCUUUGAUACUAACUUUAAAGACCCAAACCCCAUUCUAGGGAUUUCGAGCAUUUAGCUCGAUUAUAAUAAUUUAGUAAUUAUGAAAUUAUCAUUGCACAUGAGAAUUAAAAAUUUAAAUAUUACAUUUCUUGCACGUUUACUUAGAAAUACCUAAAUAGGAGCUACUGGAAUUUUUAGAACUUAAAACAAAGAUAACUACUCAAUUCGAAUACGGUGGACUAGAUAGGGACGAUCUCCUAAUCUAUUCUCUCAUUGUUUUGGAUUUGGAUUUGGAUUUGGAUCUCAAACAUCUUGAUCUGAAAUGGUAAUAAGAAGGGGGUAAGUAACACUAGCUCAAUAAGAAUGCCAAAAACCUUACCACCAACACGGUAACCAAAUGAUUGUAGAAAACUAUAAAACAACCGAUAGAAUACUUAUUUUGUAUUAAAAACCAUGCUGGUGUGGUCGCACCCUUCCUUUUUAUGGAAAAUAGUUUAUUACUUAUUUCCUUAUUAGACAACUUUCAUGCACAACAUUUAGAUAUAUUCAGGAAUAUAAUAAAAUGCAAUUAAUUGUUUACCAUCUCCUUACCCAUCUUUUAGUAUUAUUUUCGUCCACCGGUAUUUAUGGGCCGCCAAUAGAGAUUCUUCGUACUAGUGGAUACCUACAUUUCUUUCACAAAUAUCACCCGUCCCACACCGCGUCUGGUAAUGGGCACCACUUGAACCGGUCACUCCAUAUCCUGUUCGAUAUGAGUGUCGCUUUUAUUGGCCGUUCUCAUACCCCGUUGGUAUAGAUGCCAUUCACAAUCUUCCAAUCCCGUCUAAUAUGGGACUUUCCAAUCCCGUACGAUUGAGAAUCCUAUCCAUGAUAGGAAUCACCCUAUGUACUCCCCCUCCUGAUAUCCGGUGACGGUUUUAUUCACCUCAUUGCCCGAUUUUAUUUUCAUUAACAAACUUGCUCCGCAUCAUGCAUAUUCCCAAACAAGCCCAUUCCAUUUUUCAUUUUUAAUUAUUGAGAUGCAGCGCAUGCAUAAAAAGAAAAAAUAUUAAUGCUAGAAUACGUAAUAUGUAAUUUGGUGUGCAUCGAAUAGGUUAAAACAAAUAUAAUGGAAUUAAAAUACCUUAAAAUAUCACAUGACGAAAUAAAGUAAAUUCAAUUAGAUUCAGGUAAUACAAAAUAAAGUGGAAUGUAAUAAAGUAAGAAUGUUUUAAAUGAAAUAGAAUGUAUAGAAUAUCAUAGGAAAAUAAAAUUAUAUGAACCAAAACAAAACAAAUAAAAAUAGAGCAAUAUAUUCACAAGUAUAUAUAUGGAAUAGGUUAAGGAAAGAAAAAGAUGGAAUAAAUUAGAAUGACAAUCAGCGUUUUGUUAGCUCAAUCAACAACCUGGAAGAUUAAAUUAAGCAACACGCGGCACGGGUUAGAUUUAGGUUUAGUCAAGUGUAUUCAUACAUAUGCCUAUAUAUACACAUACCACUAUAUUUAUUACUAUCACUAUUAUUAUUAUUAUUAUUUUAUUAAUAUUAUUAUUAUGAUUAUUAUUAUAUAUAUUUUUCUAUCUUUUUUUUUAUCUUCCAGUAACUGUUACGAAGGGAAGGGUUUGGGCAUCCUUACACAAUUGGAAUGACGGGGAUAUCAUUCCUCGUAGUUGUCGGUCGAGGUGGUGCUCCUCACUCUCAGUUCCCACCAUUUCCUCCCUAUUUCCAUUUUUUUUAUGCGAAUGAAAAAACCAAACCUUCAAUGCAUACGGGAAGGGAAAGGGGACAAGGGAAGGAGAACGAGCUCACCGAAAUCGGGUCCCGGUUUCGGAUCGCAGACACGCGCCUCCCCCUACUCGACUACAGUUUUCUUGAGUCAAUCUAACGUAGAAAGGGUUAAAAAGGGGUCAGAAUGUAUAAAUAGGAGAAAAAAAGGAAAAUCGAGCUUACCAGCGUUAUCCUCAGCUUCUGGCACUGCAGUGC